GUCUGUGACCACACCACCCUGAACGCGCCCGAUCUCGGCUGGUCUCAGAAGCUAAGCAGGGUCUGGCCUGGUCAGUACUUGCGUGGGAGGCAGGUGAGAGGAGACUGCUCAGAGACA
Molecule: ribosomal RNA, 117 nt
Organism: Castor canadensis (American beaver)
Lineage: Eukaryota; Metazoa; Chordata; Mammalia; Rodentia; Castoridae
Source: Ensembl